Molecule: unclassified non-coding RNA, 354 nt
Filed under: soil metagenome
Description: partial contains 5.8S ribosomal RNA, internal transcribed spacer 2, and large subunit ribosomal RNA
Rfam family: 5.8S ribosomal RNA (bases 1-120)
Source: RNAcentral
GAUGAAGAACGCAGCGAAAUGCGAUAAGUAAUGUGAAUUGCAGAAUUCCGUGAAUCAUCGAAUCUUUGAACGCACAUUGCGCCCCCUGGCAUUCCGGGGGGCAUGCCUGUCCGAGCGUCAUUUCUGCCCUCCAGCCCGGCUGGGUGUUGGGCGCUGUCCCCCCGGGGACACGCCCCAAAGGCAGUGGCGGCGCCGCGUCGGGUCCUCGAGCGUAUGGGGCUUUGUCACCCGCUCGGGACGGACUCGUCGGCGCUGGUCUUCCCCCAGGCGACCCUUCGGGGCUCGUCUUCCUUCGGUUGCCCUCGGAUCAGGUAGGGUUACCCGCUGAACUUAAGCAUAUCAAUAAGCGGAGGA